GUUUGUGGGUAUAAAGGAAUGAGAACGAGAAGAGGGUUUUGUUAUCCAAAUCCAAAAGUAAACAUGUGUAGAGAAAACAAAAUUGUUAAGAGGAGAAGAGAUGAUUUUCCCGGUGUCGGAGACCAUCGGAAAAGAUCCAGACUUUCGCCGGGGGUUACUGGUCAUCAUCCUGAUCUUUUUGAUUCUUUGCCGGAUGAUCUCGUUGUAUCUAUUCUCUGCAAACUCACUUCUUCUGCUGCAUCGCCGGCUGAUUUCGUUAACGUUUUGAUUACAUGCAAAAGACUAAAUGGGUUAGGUUGUCAUUCGCUUGUAUUAUCAAAAGCUUCCCAGAAAAUGUUAACAGUGAAAGCACAAAACUGGUCGGAUUCUGCUCAACGUUUUCUGAAACAAUGCGCCGACGCCGGAAAUGUUGAAGCUUGUUAUACCCUUGGAAUGAUUCGAUUCUACUGUUUACAAAAUCGAGGGAGCGGCGCGUCCUUGAUGGCGAAGGCGGCGAUUAGCUCUCACGCGCCGUCGCUUUAUUCUCUGGCUGUUAUACAGUUCAACGGCAGCGGUGGCUCGAAGAACGACAAGGACCUCCGCGCCGGAGUUGCCCUUUGUGCACGCGCCGCCUUCUUAGGCCACAUCGAUGCUUUGAGAGAGCUUGGUCACUGUCUACAAGAUGGGUACGGCGUGAAGCAAAACAUCGCCGAAGGUCGGCGAUUCCUCGUCCAAGCUAACGCGCGUGAGCUCGCCGCUGUUUUGUCGAUGACGCCUUCGGCUCUGACCGCCGGCGGGUGGCUGACGUGGAACCCAUUGCCUCAUCACCGACACGGAGCAGGUAGCGGGUGUCCGUUACUGAGUGAUUUUGGGUGUAAUGUUCCUGCCCCGGAAGCCCACCCGGCUAAUCAGUUUUUAACGGAAUGGUUUGCUUCUAAAGGGGGAGUUCCGGGUUCGGGGCUCCGGCUUUGUUCACAUGCUGGCUGUGGAAGACCCGAAAGUAGGAGGCAUGAAUUCCGUCGGUGCUCCGUCUGUGGUACAGUUAACUAUUGCUCACGCGCUUGUCAGGCGCUUGAUUGGAAGAUGCGUCAUAAAGCAGAGUGUACACCUGUAGAGAGAUGGAUUGACGAAGACGGUGAAAAUGACGGUAACGGUAACGGAGAAAUGGGCGAGGAGGGUCAAAACAUGGGGGAGAGUUAAACGGCGAGAGUAACAGUGUGCUUGACUGUGAAGGUGACGGUAACGGCACGUGAGUCUCAAAAAUUUACUGGCAAGUAAAAAAGGUAAAAGAAGGGCAAGUUAGUAGUGGCCGUUUUUGGGAAUAUAAUUAUGGUCUCUAUUUUUGUAUAAAACAAGUAAAAAAGAAAUUGGGAUGUAUGAAAGUGGAAAAAAAGCAAAUUAUUCUGCAGUAUUUUUUGUUUUUAAAAUUUUACUUUUUGAAUAUUAAUAGGAGUAUUAAUUUAGAGUAUGGUUGGAAAAAAGAAACGAA
This 1468-nucleotide unclassified non-coding RNA is filed under the name Hevea brasiliensis (rubber tree). The record is from RNAcentral. Lineage: Eukaryota; Viridiplantae; Streptophyta; Magnoliopsida; Malpighiales; Euphorbiaceae.